CCAAACCGGGUGUCACAAGUCAUGAGCUUCUACAGAGUUUGCUAUAAGUCUACAGAAUAUAAUAUCUGAUACAACAGUUUGAAGAAAACAUAAAUGAGGUAAUAUAGGGGAGACGAGGGCCUGCGGACGUCAACAACUACCUCGAACCUCAAAAUAGCUGCCUGGUCUGGAAGGAAUCAGCGCUAAGGUGCGGACUCUGCUAUGCCUGAAUCUGCACAUAUAGUGCGGGGAGUAAUGUGAGUACUCCGACCCAGUGAGUAAUAACAAUAAAUAACGAUGACAGCAUGAAAACAUAUAAAUACACAAGGAAAUUCAAUACAAGGCAGUAAAUCACUUAACGUCGUAAAAUCGUAAAGAAUCAAAUGAAAUCUCCUUUUAAAAAAAGGUAAAUUAGGUAAAACAACAAGUAAACAGUGGGUAGUAAUCUGCCCCUCGGCCCAGUACAAAUCGCUCAGUAUAGUAUCAGCCUCGGGCUCACUCUCCACUCAGUAUAGUAUCAGCCCCUCGGGCUUAGUAUAAGUCAUUCAACAUAGUAUCAGCCAUUUGGGCCCACUCUUGGAUCAUAUGGAUACCCGCGCUCACUGUGGGUGUGCAUACUCCGGAGGGUCCCGUUACGGCCCAAGCGCUAUAUAAACAUAAGGCCUGAAAGCCUUCUCACAUCACUCAUAAGGCCUGAAAGCCUCCUCAUAUCACUCACAAGGCCUGAAAGCCUCCUCGCAUCACUCAGAAGGCCUGAAAGCCUCCUCACAUCACUUAGAAGGCCUGAAAGCCUCCUCAUAUUACUCACAAGUCCUAAAAGCCUCCUCACAUCACUCACAAGGCCUGAAAGCCUUUUCAAGUCACUCAAGCAACCUCGUGGCAUAUAAAUGUAUCUCAGGCCAUCGGCCUCACUCAGUCCAGAAACAACAUCAUAAGCCUCUCGAGCAUCAAUAAAAUAGUAGUUCUCAGCCCAAACAACAUUGAAAAUAUUAUUUAAAUAUCAAGAUUCAAUUAGAAAUGGUUGAAUUUGUAAAACAGUAUUAAUCAAUAGGACUAAGUUCAAGUAAUAUAUCAAAAUAGUGAGGAAAGGGUGAUAAAAGUCCACAAAGGAUUCAAGUAAUCAGCAUGAAGCCCAAAAUAAGGCAAUAAGCCCAAAUCAUGUUGAUAAAACACGCCUCAGUCAAAUAAGCGGUAAAAAUAUCAAUUGGGAUGUACCAAGUCACAAUCCUCAGUAGUAAACAACCCCGCGCUCAUCAUUAAGCGCGUGUUUCACCUCAAUAUAGCACUACUUUGUGCAAAUCCGGGUUUCAAACCCUCGGGAUAUAAUUUACCAUCAUUACUCACCUCAAGCCGGCAAAAAUCCUAGCUCGCUAUGCCCUUACCUCUCAAAUCGGCCUCCUCACGUGUCGAAUCCGACCAAAACCACAACGAAUACAUCACAAUAAGCUAAGAGAACAUAACCAAAUUGAAAAACAUCAAAAAUCCCGAAAUUAGCAAAACUCGAUCCCCCGACCCACUUCUUAAAACUCAGAAACUUUCACAUCACCGGGUUCCUUAUCUCGCCACGAGUCUAUACAUAUAAAGAAAACCAAAAUUGGAGUCCAAUUGACCCCUCAAAUCCUAAUUUGAAAUAUCAAAACUCAAGCCCUAGUUCUUCCUCUUUUUGCUAAGAUUCUAUAAAAUUCUAGGUUAUUUCCACAAUUAAGUCUUGUUUUUAGUUUAUAGGGCUCACCUCGAAUCAAUCCCAGUCGAAACCCUCUUAAAUUUCUCCCAAAAAACUCUAAAGAUGUUCAACAAUGGAGGAAAAUAACUUAAGCUCGCGGAUGAAAUAUUAUUAAAAACCCCUAUCCAGCUGACAUUUACUCUAUGCGAACGCGAGGGCUCUCUCGCAUUCGCGGUGGACAACUCUUGUCUCGACCAAAUUACCCCUUGCAAACGCAUUGCCUCCUCCGCGAACGUGAUGCUUUAACUUAUACCACUACGCGAAUGCUAGCCUAAUUCUGUGAACGUGAAAAACAAAUAAUAACGGACCUCAAAUCCUUCUAUGCGAACGCGACACUCGUCAUGCGAACGCGAUACACACUCCCAGGACCCUCCACGAACGUGAUUCUAUGCGAAGCACAUAGACUCAGGGACCUAACUUUCUUCUACGCGAACGCGGGCUCCUCACCGCGAACGCGAAGACAAGCCUGGACUUGCACUGUUGCUGAUUUUUUUGCUAAGAAUUUUCAACUCCAAACUUCCUGUUAGCCAUCCGAAAUCACUCGGAGGCCCCCGGGACCUCAACCAAAAGCACCAACACAACCUAAAAAAUCGUCCAAACUUGUUCCAAUCACCAAAAUACCUCAGAUAACACCAAAACCAUCAAAUUACAUUGAAUUCCAGCCUAAGAUCUUUUAAAACUUCAGAAGCACAAAUUCGAUAAAAACCCCAACCAAAGCACCUUUGAAUGACUUGAAAUUUUGCAUACAUAUCCCAAAUCACAUAGUGAAGCUACAACAACUCUUGAAAUUACAUUCCCAUCCUCGGAUCAAAAUCUCAUCUAUCAAUCGAAACUCGCCAAAAUACUAACUUUUUCAAUUCAAGCCAAAUCCUUCCACGGACUUCCAAAAUACAUUCCAAUUGCAAUUCUGAGUCAUAAAUACCCAAAAAGCUAACCAAAUCAUAAAAACUUGGAUCUGAUCUCAUAUAGAGACAAGUAACCUCUUGGUCAAACAUUUCAAAUUUUUAGCUUUAAUUGAUAAUUGUUCUUCCAAAUUCUUUUAAUUAACAUGUAACCAAAAUCAACGAUCUUUAUAGGUCAUAAUACACCACAUGGGCCAAAUCAUGCCUGAAAACUGACGAUCAAAUUGCAAAGGUCAAAACGACCGGUCUGAUCAUUACAAUACUACUGUUAAAUACUUGGUCCCUCAUAUAAAAAACAUGUGAUGUUUCUUGGACCAUAGAACCCUGAUUCACCCCUUUCCUCACUAUAAGGGACCCAAACUUAUUUGGGUUCCUAAGUCUAUCCCUUGAUUUCCUUGUUCAGGGAGCAGACAAUAAUGGUAAAUGGAUAUUGGCUGCCCAAAGUAUGACUAGAAGUACAAAUAAUUUCCUUAGACCCAAGAGGGAGUGUGCCUUUAGAAAUGGUAAAAAAGGAUACAUUUUGGGAGUUGGAAGGACUGGAAAAUCUUUCACUCAUUCAAUUGAAAAUGUAUACUAUAUGAACGGGUUGAAGUACAACUUGCUGAGUUUUUUACAAAUCUUUGACAUAGGAAGCAAAGUGGAAUUUGUCUAAAAAAUAUGCACGGUUACAAAUCUUGUGACUCGUGAAGUGGUUCUAGUGGCUAAAAGGUACAAAAAAAAUUAUGUUGCUAAUUUUGAGUCCUUGUAAAAUGGGGAUCUCUAUUGUCUGAGCGCUAUUGAUGAUGAUGCUAAACUAUGGUACAGAAGACUAGGUCAUACAAGUUUUACAUUGCUGGAAAAAUUAGUCAAGAAGGACCUGAUUCGUGGCUUGCCGAAGUCAAGCUUCAAGGAUCACAAGGUGUGUGCUGCAUGUGUAAAAGGAAAGCAAGAUCCUUGUUCAAGCCAAAAAAGGAAGAUUAGUACCUCAAGGCCACUUAAUCUUCUCCAUAUGGAUAUGUGUGGACCUUUGAGGGUGCCAAGAAGAGGAGGAAAGAAGUACAUCUUUGUUAUAGUCGAUGACUAUCCCAUAUUCACCUGAACUAUGUUUCUCAGAACUAAGGAUGAAACUUUUCAAGUAUUUGCUACAUUUGUGAAGAAGAUAUAGGUGAAGAUGAUCCAUAAUGUAGUAUGUAUAAGGUCUGAUUACGACAUAGAACUUGGCAAUGCCAAAUUUGACGAAUUAUGUGCUGAAAAUGGCAUUAUUCAUAAUUUUUCAGCUCCAAGAAAACCUUAACAAUAUGGUGUUGUUGAGAGGAAGAAUAAGAUUCUUGAAGACAUGGAAAUAACAAUGUUGAUUGACAGUGGCAUGUAAAAAGUUUCUGGGUAGAAGUAGUCAACACUGCAUGCUACUUGGUGAAUAUGUCCAUGAUCAGGUCCCUUUUGAACAAAACUCCAUAUGAACUAUUGAACGGGAGGAAGCCUAAGUUGACACAUUUAAGGACAUUUGGCUGCAAACAUUUCCUUCUCAACAAUGGCAAGUAAGCACUUGGAAAAUUUGAUGUCAAAAGUGAUGAAAGAUUCUUUUUAGGCUAUUUAUCACAAAGCAAAGCCCACAAAGUUUACAACAAAAAACUCAAUAUAAUGAGGAAAGCAUACAUGUGAUCUUUUAUGAAUCUCGCCACCCAUGUGGGAAAGAUUCACAUGAUAAUAUUGAUCAAGACAGAGAACAGUAAACUGUCCUUGGUGAAGUCAUGGGCAUGGAAAAUGGAAAGGCUGACAUGAUGAGUCAUGUCAAGGAAUAAAAUGAUAAUGAUGCACCCAUAUCUCAAACUGAUGGGGAGGAACCUGGUUCCUCAAUCACAAUAACUGAAGCUGAGAACAAAGUUGUCGAGGCUAUCUAAGGCAACCCAUAAGUUGCACUGAGAAGUGGAACUCAGGAAAACCAAGGACGGCUUCCAAAAAUACCUGAACCUUCUCACAAUGAGAUUCAUGUGUCUAAAUUGGAAGCAUAAAAGUUCACAUCCUCUUGAAAAUGUAAUCACUCCUCUUGACUCAUGGAUUCAAACCAGAUUAACUUCAAGAAACUAGUUUGCCUUUUCAGCCUUUCUCUCUCAAAUUGAUCCCAAAAAUAUCAAGAAAACAUUGAAAGAUGCUAACUGAAUUACGGCUAUGGAAGAACAACUCUAUUAAUUUGAGAGGAAUAGUGCAUGGAACCUAGUACCAUGACUUGCUAAUAGAACUAUAUAGGAACCAAAUGGGUAUUUAGAAACAAACUUGAUGAUUUUGGAAACACAACAAAGAACAAUGCAAUGCUAGUAGUCAAGGCUAUAAUCAUGAAACUUUAGCUCCAGUUGCUCAAAUGGAGGCCAUCAGAACCCUCGUUGCCUUUGCAUCUCAUAUGGAAUUAAAAUUGUCUCAAAUUGAUGUCAAAAGUGCAUUUCUAAAUGAUUUUCUAAAAGAAGAAGUUUUCGUCCAGCAACACCUGGAUUUGAGUAUUAUGAGCAUCCUGAGCAUUUUUGAACUUGAUAAAACAUUAUAUGGCUAAAACAAGCUCCUCGUGCUUGGUAUGAAAGGUUGUCCAAUUUCUUCUAGAAAAUGGCUUUACAAGAGGAAAACUUGACAACACCUUAUUUCUGAAGAAACAAGGGAGGAACCUGCUCAUUGUGCAAGUCUAUUUUGAUGACAUCAUCUUCGGAGAAACAAAUGAUUCUCUGUGUGGGGAAUUUGCUAAGCUCAUGGAAGUGAGUUUUGAAUGGGCAUGAUGGAGGAAUAGAAUUUCUUCUUGAGUUUACAAGUCAAGCAAACUCCGAAGGGGACAAUGAUAAGUUAGCAGAAGUACAUCAAAGAGCUUUUAAAGAGAUUUAAAAUGGAAGGCUAAAAAAUCAUUGAUACUCCCAUUACCACUGCCACUCAUCUAACAUGUAUAAACCUGGUUCUCCUAUGAACGAGAGGAUGUAUAGAGGUAUCAUUGGGUCACUCAUAUAUCUCACAAUACCAAGACCAGAUAUUAUUUUUAGUGUGGGACUUUGUGCCAGGUUUCAAUCUAAUCCAAAGGAAUCUUAUCUUAAGAUUUCCAAGAGAAUCAUGAGGUAUCUCACAAGGACACAGGACGUGGUUCUCUACUAUCCCUCUGGAGACAAUUUUGAUUGAAUUUGGUUUGCUGAUAUUGAUUAUGCUGGUUAUCUAAUGGAUAGGAAAAGAAUUUCUGGCAUGGCACAUUUUUUGGGUUAAUUUCUAAUCUCAUGGGAUACAAGAAAAAAAGUACUUAGUGGCUCUUUCAACCGUAGAAGCAAAAUAUGUGGCGACUACCUUUUGCUACGCUCAACUGGUAUGGGUCAAGCAUUAACUGGAAGAUUUUGGGGUGUUUUCUAACUGUGUGCCCUUAUAUGUGAUAACACCAAUGCUCUCAACAUGGACAACAAUCCAGUUUAACAUAAGAGAACAAAGCACAUUGAUAUGCGACAUCACUUCCUCAGAGACAAUGUUGAAAAAUGGCUCAUCUGUAUGAAAUUUUGCAGCACGGAAGAUUAAAUUCUAGAUAUAUUCACCAAAGCACUGAGCAGGGAGCACUUUGAAAAGAAAUCGCUUGGUACUAGGGUUGAUAAAAUCAAGCUAAGUACCUGGCCCGUUGAUGAUUGACUAUGAAAUGAAUGAACAGGUGAAAUUGCUAAAAAGUGUUUUCUGCGCACAGAGGAAAUAGGUUCCUAAAGCUCUCUGAUCGAGCUUUCUUAUGCUUAUGACAGGCAUUCUCGGGGACACCUACUAAAAGGAGUCUAUUGGGGGAGAUCCAGCCAGAAAGACUUAUUGGAUUGGUUACGUAUUUAAAGAAGAGCCUUAUAUAUUACUAUAUUACGUGCGAGUGAGGUCUUUCCCAAAACAAAUAGUGGGAUUUCCUCAACCUUCCUGACUUUUUCCCGAAUGAGUUGAACUUAUAAGGAUGAAACCUGGCCCGUUGAUGAUUGACUAUGAAAUGAAUGAACAGGUGAAAUUGCUAAAAAGUGUUUUCUGCGCACAGAGGAAAUAGGUUCCUAAAGCUCUCUGAUCGAGCUUUCUUAUGCUUAUGACAGGCAUUCUCGGGGACACCUACUAAAAGGAGUCUAUUGGGGAAGAUCAAACAAGCAUUAGCUCUCCCUGAAAAGGAGGUGAUCCAGCCGCACCUUGCAGUAUGACUAACUUGUUACGACUUCACUCCAAUCACUGCAAAGUCUAUCUCAUUUCUAUACUGUUGCCGGUAGACAUACAUGACGACUAUCAAGCAAAAACAGUAGCUAAUGGUAUCCACUUUGGUCAACAGAUGAGUUUUACAUUUACAAUAUAUGUUCGGGAACCUGGAUCGCUUGACACAGGUUAGUAGUUCCUCUUUACUCUCAUCCACAACCUUUUAAUGGUUAAAUUGAUGCCAUGUCAUUAAAAUAUCAGUUUCUCUCUUUUUUUUGAACCCAAACGUCAUACCUGUCAUUGUCGAUGCCCCCGUUUUCUAAGCCAAAAUCGGGUUUACUACAUUUGGACCGACCACUCUUUUUCUUUUGGGAAUUGGGUUUGAGAUUUAGAAGGGUCGCCACCUAAUAAUUAAAGUGUAUUAGGACACUAAGAAGGGUUUGAGUUGAAGGACCAGAGUUUGGGUAAGGGCUAGAAAUUAUCUCGGAGGGAAGGUGUUAGGCAACCCCCGAGAUCCACUAGUAUAGUUCCCGGCCAUGCUACAAUUGUGAUUUUAAAUAUAUACAACAAAUAAACAUACAAGACACUUUCACGUAACGAUUGCAAACAAAAGGAAUUGUAAAAGUUAAAUGAACAUGCUGAAGUUAGGAAUAGGCGAUUUCAUAAUUAUUAAAGAAUACACAAGUGCAGAAAAAUGGGGGUCAAAUAAUUGGUACAAAUAAUCAAACAAAGGAAUGAAAUGAGGCAGAAGUUUGGAAAAGAAAUAGUACUUAAAAUUAAAUAACUAAAAGUGAUUUUAAAUGAUUAAAGUAAAAGACGAGGUUUAAAAUAACUAAAAACUAUCAGUUUAAAAAAUAUUCUGAAAAAAGAAGUAAACACAUAAAGAGGGAAUGGGUCUUAGGUUUAUGAAUAACAUGGAUCACCCCACGCAACACCCGGUAACCAUUUAUACACGUGGUUUUAUUGCGUGAUAAUCAUAUCCACGCCUAUCCUUUCCUACCCCGUUAACGUACUAAAUUGCGGAAUGGUCUCCUUACUUAUUGCAUGCUACUACCUGCCCCAAUCCUAUCAGUCUCGGAGGAAGUUGGGAGUACUAAUCCUAAAGGGAAGGACCAGUGGCUUUUCAAAGUUUUAAAAGGACAAAAAUCUAGUGCGACAAACAGAACACAUAACAGUAAAAAGGGGAGAACACAUAACAAAGGCUCAAAUAGGCCUCCUCAUUCAAAGAGAAAAUUGUUUAGCAUGACUUACAAGUACUGAUUAGGUCUGAAUUAAACUUAACGCGUUAGGACAGGCUGCUGUAUCACUUAUUUCUCAUAUGAGAAGUCCGGAUUAGGCCUUGGCUGGUUGUAGUUUAUCAGGGACUGACGCAUUUGAUUAAUUACCUACUAGUUUGCCUAGAUGAGGCCUGUAAGCAUGAUAUUCUAACAAUGCAGAAGGCAUAAUGAUUUUAAAGAAAGGUUACUGGUUUUAUAAACAAAGGUUUGUAAAUUUUAAACGAUCUUGCUACUGAUUUUAAACUCAUAGGUGAAAUAGACGAAGUUGAUCAACUGAUUACAUCCUAUAGGCAUGCAAAAAAUGCAUAAAAAUUACUAAAACAUAUAUUAAAAAUAGGAAAAAUACAUAAUAUUAUUAUAAAAGCGUGUAGAUGACAUGGAUUUAUGGGGCUAAACUUUAAAAAAAAUGCUCUCGACGCAUUUUAGCUUAGAAAAAGAACAGUAGCUCUUACUGGCGCACGAUAGCAAGAUCACAAUCGUCGUCGGAAUAUGGCUCGUUGCCGGCGUAACCCUCCACCUACUACUACUCAACUCGUCACACCUGAGAAUGGCACAAUCCAGGAACUUGAACCAUACACUUUUGGUAACUUUCUGCCUCAGAAGUUUCAUUCUCCAAUAGUGAUGCAUGCAGGGCCGUACCGACGUCCUGACACGUACCGUGGCCAUGUCCUGACACGUACCGUGGCCAUGUCCUGACACGUACCGUGGCCAUGUCCUGACACGUCCUGACACGUACCAUGACCUUAUCCUGCCAUGUCCUGGCGCGUCCUGACACGUGCCAUGGCCAUGUCCUGACACGUACCAUGGCCAUGUCCUGACACGUACAUGGCCAUGUCCUGAANNNNNNNNNNNNNNNNNNNNNNNNNNNNNNNNNNNNNNNNNNNNNNNNNNNNNNNNNNNNNNNNNNNNNNNNNNNNNNNNNNNNNNNNNNNNNNNNNNNNNNNNNNNNNNNNNNNNNNNNNNNNNNNNNNNNNNNNNNNNNNNNNNNNNNNNNNNNNNNNNNNNNNNNNNNNNNNNNNNNNNNNNNNNNNNNNNNNNNNNNNNNNNNNNNNNNNNNNNNNNNNNNNNNNNNNNNNNNNNNNNNNNNNNNNNNNNNNNNNNNNNNNNNNNNNNNNNNNNNNNNNNNNNNNNNNNNNNNNNNNNNNNNNNNNNNNNNNNNNNNNNNNNNNNNNNNNNNNNNNNNNNNNNNNNNNNNNNNNNNNNNNNNNNNNNNNNNNNNNNNNNNNNNNNNNNNNNNNNNNNNNNNNNNNNNNNNNNNNNNNNNNNNNNNNNNNNNNNNNNNNNNNNNNNNNNNNNNNNNNNNNNNNNNNNNNUGACACGUACAUGGCCAUGUCCUGACACGUCCUGACACGUACAUGGCCAUGUCCUGACACGUCCUGACACGUACCAUGGCCAUGUCCUGAUUACAUCCUAUAGGCAUGAUUUCUGAGCAUUAUUGGUUUUAUGAGGACUAAGUAAGUGCAGGAGUCCUAUAGGCAUUGUAUCUAAAAUGAGGUUACUUAUUGCUAAACCUAUGAUUACUUGCCUAAUGACAGACGUAUAUGUAGAGGUGCAGAAACAAAACUAUAACCAUGAUUUUCUAUAUGCAGAAACUUAUAGGCAUGGUUUCUAAUAAUGAAACAAUCUUGUAGGUAAGAUUUCUACGUGUAAUGCAUAAAUUGUAGGCAGGAUUUAUAAAUGCGCAAGCGCGUAAACUUAUAGGCAGGAGUACUAUAUGUUAUACAUGAAUGCAGAAUUUGUGAAUACUAAUCCCUAUGAGCAUGUUGUCUACCCAUAUGCAUACUUAAAUGACCCCCCUUUUCACUAGAAGCCCAUAGUUAUUACAAAUUAUUACAAACCCGAAUGAAUCAAGAAAGAUAAAAAAUUACAAUAGAAAUUCAAGCUACAACCAAACAACCCAAUUCAGACUCAAGGUCUAACAAUAUGACAUAAACCACCUUCCAAAGAUAAGAUUUCCAAAGCCUUUCUCAUCUUUGGGGUAUGUUAAAAAUCUAAAGGGCUUCAUGAACCUUAGGCAGUGCGUACACCCAAAUAUAUUUGCAGGAUCAGAUUAUAGUGCAGUGUGGAAAGGCCAACCCUAAAAUGUCAAAGUUCAGAGGGAACUCAAGGUCCCAAAGCAAGGCUCAUAGGAGGGGGGGAGAACUUAGAGUCUAAGAGUAAAUGUAAGUGCAUGGGGGAAUUAGGGAGUCCAGGGCAGGCUAGUGAUUAUGCCUAGCAAUCAGAUAUGCUGGCACACCCCUGACCAGCCUGUUAGCCAAAUCUUAGGAGUUAGGAUCCAUUAGAGAUCAAGUUCAGACCUGAGCAGUAAUUUGGGUACUGCCAUGCCAAAACCUUAACUCAGACACAUAGAGGGGAAUAUGGUGUAGGGAUUCACAAUUGAAACAAAUGCAAGGAAAUAACAUACAUAGUUUAAUCACUAAACAUGAGCAACAGAGUAAACAAGAAUGUUGAAACUACAAAGUAAACAUACAAAGGUGAGAUAGAAAAGAAUUAAAUAAGAAAUACCAGUUUCAGGGAAACCAGGUAAAAAGAAACAGUAGUCUUGAAAAGCCAAUUUGUAAGCAAGCAGUUCCAAAAGAUCUCAGAAAAGGAGAGUGUUGGGAGAGCAUUGAACUCAAAGCAGUAUUGUAAGUAUGUGAGUUGAGAGUAAAAGUUCGAGGUAUUAAACAUGAAGUGUCCUAAAAAAUGUAGGAGGGUAGUCCCCUUUAUAGUGCGGAGAAGAAAGUAAGGAAGGUAAAAAGAUAGUUUUCAAUCAAUCAAAUAAAAUUUCCCUUCAGUUAAGGAAUUGAUUUCCAACGGGUAGAAUACAAUAAGGAAAGGGAUUUGAAAAUAUUUUCCUAUCAGUAUAAUAAAGGGUAAGUACAUAGAAGCUAUUUAAGGCAAACAACUGAUAGUACAUAGCAGUAUAAUAAAGGGUUUUUAAAAAAGGAAAGGGGAUCAACUAGUAUAAUCAAAAUUUCAGACUUUUACUCGAAUAAACCAAGUCAGGAAAGGGGUAAAGAAAGGUUCAAUUAGGGAAAUCAGUAACAAUCAAGUAAACACACUUAAAGGAAUUCAGAAUCAAUUAGUAGUUGGCAAAACCUUUUUAAAGCAGAGUCCUUAUACAUAAAGCACACAAAUGUGAGUCAAGGAGGGAUUGUCAAGUUAUUUAGAAGAGAGUCUAAUCAAAGAAAAGUUCAGAAUCAUAAGCAAUAAGGAACAUGUUCAAUUUGCAGACUCAUAGUGAGUUUGAGAGUCUAGGGUCCAAAGUAGAACCCUAACUCGAACACAAAAUCAAAAUCGUCAAAGGAAAACCCCAAAUCCUAGGGUUUCAAAUUGUAUCAGACAUGGAGGUGAGAAAGCAAGCCAUUUGUUUCAGAGUCUCAACAAAAUAGAUAUGAUAGCAUGUUUGAAAGACAAUGGAAUAAAAAUCACGAGGAACAUAUUUGAGAAAACUCAGAACCUAGACAAGUUCAGAAGAAGUAGAUAACAAACUUGAACACAAGUAGAUGAAGCAUGUAAGAACAUGAACAGAGUCCAGUAAACAAAAAAUCAAAUAGAUUAACGGUAAUCACAUAUAGUAAAAGGGUAAAGAAAACAUAGCAAAGAUUAACAUGAGUAACAUGUGUAGUAGAAAAGAAAAGGUAGAAGACAGUACAUGCAUAACAAAAAAAAUCACAUGAGCAGAGUAUGGACAAACACACAUAAAACAAAGAAGAAGAAAAAUCACAAAUAUUUUUUCCAAACAAAUCCUUUCAAAAACCCUAAAAUCGGAGAGAAAUGAUUUUGAAAAGACACUAUUAGGGAAAGCACUUUAGAUGGCAAGAAAAGCAUAUAUACAAUAUAGAUCUAAGCAAACAACAGCGAAAGAACCUCGAAUACCAUAGGGGUUUGGAGGAACCCUAGAUAUGAGAAAGGCUUGGAAACAUGUCCGAUCUUGAGUCGAAGAGGCUCAUAGUGCUUGAAUAUUCCCGGGUAAAGUGCUAGAGAAGCCAUAGAUCUGCAGAUCUGAGAAGGAUUUGAAGGAGAAACAUUGAAGUAAGGUCUCGAAGCUUUGAACAACCAUGGUUUACUGGUGAAGGGGAGUGAGUACCAAGAAUCCAUGGCCUGGGAAGCCAUGGAUUCUGGUGGACUGGUAGUUGAAGCGGGUAGAAGGAGGCUAGGGUUUCAGAGAGUUUGAGAGAUGACAAUUUU
Molecule: long non-coding RNA, 12191 nt
Filed under: Nicotiana benthamiana
Lineage: Eukaryota; Viridiplantae; Streptophyta; Magnoliopsida; Solanales; Solanaceae
Description: long non-coding RNA (NBEN_LNC038149)
Source: RNAcentral